CUCUCUCUUUUAUUAAAUUUUAAAUACUUUAUGUACCUGGUCCCCAAGCAAAUAAAUAAAAUAAUAAAUAAUUGUUUUGUCUGUUUGCAAAUCAAUUUCUUUGAUUUAAUCAGUAAGUUCAAGUAACAAACAAAACAUUAUGUGCUUGGUUUUGUACAGUGCAGGUUGUUUCAGAAAGAGAAGAGUGGAUGGUGUGCACCAGCUGGAUUUUCACAAGCCUUAACUCAUCACACAAGCGUGUAUGAUCACAGAAUGGAUGACCUGAGUGAUUUCCUGAGACAAAGAAUUAUUCCUGAGGAAACUAUUGAGACCAUGCUGAGAGAGAAGAUUGAUAGCAGUGUCAUCCAACUCAUGACAGAUGAAGAGCUAAAGAGUUAUUUGCCAUC
This is a long non-coding RNA of Poeciliopsis prolifica (blackstripe livebearer), 386 nucleotides long. RefSeq lists it as uncharacterized. The record is from RefSeq and is a predicted model, not a curated record. The transcript is spliced from 3 exons. Lineage: Eukaryota; Metazoa; Chordata; Actinopteri; Cyprinodontiformes; Poeciliidae.